GCCCAUUCCCCUCAACGUUUGAUCUUGGCCAGUUCCCUUAAACCAAAAUUUUCUUUUUAUCCGCCCAGACCAUUUCUUCUUGACCCAGUCUGCUUAAACCCGACCUGUUCACCUUUUCAUCCUCUUCAACGAGAACAAUACCCAGAAGCUUGCAACAUCCAUCCCAGCGCGUAGGUAACAACACGACAAUCCCAGCAGCAAUCCAAUCAUUUCUGUCGCGUCGGGUACUACUCAUUCCUGCAUGUUUCCCCUUAUGCGCGUGACACAUUCCCUUCCCCCCUUUGUUUAGUUGUUUCCAGCCUCUAGACUGUGUACUCGUACGAACGCUAGCAACACCAGACGCGGAAUCGUCCUUGCGAGCUUGGAGAUGGCGCCAGCGGGGAUCCAAGGACGAUGGAGUCGAUCCCAAUCGUCCAUUCCUAGUUUCUAUCCAUUAAGAUAGAAAAUCGUUUGGGGAAUAUUUGGAUUUUGGGAUUAACUUGAAGUUGAAUUUCAAAGCUAUGGUAAAAAUUGAUUUUGCCCUCGCCUUUCCCCUCUCAAAAUCCAAAAAUCCUAAUAUAUUUCUAUAAGUAUUCUCUUUCUCACUGUUCUUGGGCGGAUUUUUUUAGCGAAAAAAAGAGUUCACAGAGAUAGGAAUUUUUGGAGAGACUUGCUAAAUGCUUUUGAGAUUCUUCUGUUGAAAUAAAGUUCAACGAAAGUUAGGAAGAAAUUUCUUUCAGAUUGAAAUUCCUCGACUAAAGCGGAAAAAAAGAGAAGCUAUAAGAAAUAUGUAACGCAUACUAAGUGUACGAGACAACAAUUUCCAGCAUUUUGAUUUCAUUAUCAUGCAGGGAUUUUCUCGUUUGUUGCUUCCGUUUCAAUUUUCUUAUGGGAAAGGUUGUUUCCCCUGCUCGUUCCAUCCACAGUUCGUUACCAUCAACAAGAUUGACCGAGUUCAUUAUGAACUCAAAUUUUCCCUUGCAUUAUUGAUGAGUCGUAGAGGCUUAACUUCCUUUUGUUCGAGUCAAUCAUUCCCUACAAGGUGAACAUGUUUCAAAAAUGAAGAACUGGAAGCGAGUUGAAGAGUUGAAGAAGUUGGGAUUAAAAGACCUCAACUUUUUUUUCCGUAUAUAUUUUUGUAUUUCAUUUGUAAUGGGCCUACGCCCUUGUUGUCUUUAUUUUUCACCAUUUAUUAGUUAUUAUAUUUAGUCUAGGACAGGUAUAAAGAUAAAUGGGUCAAAGGCCUACAAGCAAGUGGGUCCAAAUUAUGGUCAAGGCGAACAGAAAUGUACCAAGUUUGAUUGAAAUUAUGUAAUGAACGCCAUGAUUUUUAGUGAAGUUUAUUUUUUGGGAUA
This is a long non-coding RNA of Solanum lycopersicum (tomato), 1334 nucleotides long. RefSeq lists it as uncharacterized. The record is from RefSeq and is a predicted model, not a curated record. NCBI's taxonomy places the organism in Eukaryota, Viridiplantae, Streptophyta, Magnoliopsida, Solanales, Solanaceae.